GAUGAACGCUGGCGGCGUGCCUAAUACAUGCAAGUCGAGCGAACAGACGAGGAGCUUGCUCCUCUGACGUUAGCGGCGGACGGGUGAGUAACACGUGGAUAACCUACCUAUAAGACUGGGAUAACUUCGGGAAACCGGAGCUAAUACCGGAUAAUAUAUUGAACCGCAUGGUUCAAUAGUGAAAGACGGUUUUGCUGUCACUUAUAGAUGGAUCCGCGCCGCAUUAGCUAGUUGGUAAGGUAACGGCUUACCAAGGCAACGAUGCGUAGCCGACCUGAGAGGGUGAUCGGCCACAUUGGAACGGAGACACGGUCCAGACGCCUACGGGAGGCAGCAGUAGGGAAUCUUCCGCAAUGGGCGAAAGCCUGACGGAGCAACGCCGCGUGAGUGAUGAAGGUCUUCGGAUCGUAAAACUCUGUUAUUAGGGAAGAACAAAUGUGUAAGUAACUAUGCACGUAUUGACGGUACCUAAUCAGAAAGCCACGGCUAACUACGUG
This 497-nucleotide ribosomal RNA is filed under the name uncultured bacterium. Its description in RNAcentral is "partial 16S ribosomal RNA". It matches the Rfam family "Bacterial small subunit ribosomal RNA", at positions 28 to 507 of the family's 1533-position model. The record is from RNAcentral.